CCUACGGGAGGCAGCAGUGAGGUAUAUUGGUCAAUGGACGCAAGUCUGAACCAGCCAAGUAGCGUGCAGGAUGACGGCCCUCCGGGUUGUAAACUGCUUUUAGUUGGGAAUAAAAGGGGGCUCGUGAGCCCCGUACUGUAUGUACCAUCAGAAAAAGGACCGGCUAAUUCCGUGCCAGCAGCCGCGGUACUACGGAGGGUCCGGGCGUUAUCCGGGUUUAUUGGGUUUAAAGGGAGCGUAGGCGGGCUUUUAAGUCAGCUGUGAUAGUCCGCGGCUCAACCGUGGAAUUGCAGUUGAAACUGGAGGCCUGGAGUGCACACAGGGAUGCCGGAAUUCAUGGUGUAGCGGUGAAAUGCUUAGAUAUCAUGAAGAACUCCGAUCGCGAAGGCAGGUGUCCGGGGUGCAACUGACGCUGAGGCUCGAAAGUGCGGGUAUCAAACAGGAUUAGAUACCCGAGUAGUC
RNAcentral lists this ribosomal RNA (462 nucleotides) under uncultured bacterium. Its description in RNAcentral is "partial 16S ribosomal RNA". It matches the Rfam family "Bacterial small subunit ribosomal RNA", at positions 338 to 795 of the family's 1533-position model. The record is from RNAcentral.